This 491-nucleotide ribosomal RNA is filed under the name uncultured bacterium. RNAcentral describes it as "partial 16S ribosomal RNA". It matches the Rfam family "Bacterial small subunit ribosomal RNA", at positions 29 to 506 of the family's 1533-position model. The record is from RNAcentral.
AGUGAACGCUGGCGGUAGGCCUAACACAUGCAAGUCGAACGGCAGCACAGUAAGAGCUUGCUCUUACGGGUGGCGAGUGGCGGACGGGUGAGGAAUACAUCGGAAUCUACUUUUUCGUGGGGGAUAACGUAGGGAAACUUACGCUAAUACCGCAUACGACCUACGGGUGAAAGCAGGGGAUCUUCGGACCUUGCGCGAUUGAAUGAGCCGAUGUCGGAUUAGCUAGUUGGCGGGGUAGAGGCCCACCAAGGCGACGAUCCGUAGCUGGUCUGAGAGGAUGAUCGGCCACACUGGAACUGAGACACGGUCCAGACUCCUACGGGAGGCAGCAGUGGGGAAUAUUGGACAAUGGGCGCAAGCCUGAUCCAGCCAUACCGCGUGGGUGAAGAAGGCCUUCGGGUUGUAAAGCCCUUUUGUUGGGAAAGAAAAGCAGCAGGUUAAUACCCCGCUGUUCUGACGGUACCCAAAGAAUAAGCACCGGCUAACUUCGU